CCCUUAGAUGUUCUGGGCAGCACGCGCGCUACAAUGGUCUUCGCAAACGGAUGCAUUCUCGAAGGAGAAUGCCAAUCUUGGAAUCUAUGCCUUGGUCGGGACAGUUGCUUGCAAUUUUUCGACUCGAACCAGGAAUUCCUUGUAAUCGUGAUUCAUCACAUCACGAUGAAUACGUCCCUGCCCUUUGUACAAACCGCCCGUCGCUCCUACCGAUCGAAGAGUUAGGUGAAUUGUUUUGAUCGAUAAGAUUUGACUAUGGUCAACUCUCGUUGUGAAAUUCUGUGAAUCUGACUGUUUAGAGGAAGGUGAAGUCGUAACA
RNAcentral lists this ribosomal RNA (319 nucleotides) under uncultured eukaryote. RNAcentral's name for it is "partial 18S ribosomal RNA". It matches the Rfam family "Eukaryotic small subunit ribosomal RNA", at positions 1470 to 1796 of the family's 1831-position model. The record is from RNAcentral.